UGGUGCUGGGAAGCCUCGUAGUCCUGCAGGGCCUCGUGGAGCACAUCCUGGAGUUUCUGCACUGCAUCCACAUCUUCAAUGUGCAUGGAGUCUGGAGAAAAAGGACACAGAAUUCUAGUGUCUGUGCCCCCUCUGUCUGCUGUGUUAUUGCUCAGUGCCACAGAGGGGAGAGGUGCUAAAGACGCCAUCCAAAAUCCCAACAGAAACAAUGCAGGAAUGCUACUGCAAGCUGUGACUCAGGGUCACUUUUAUAUCAACAUCUUGGGGGCUUCUGCUGGAAAGUGUUGAUAUGUGUGUUAAAUGUAACUGGUGG
Thunnus maccoyii (southern bluefin tuna) is the source of this 313-nucleotide long non-coding RNA. RefSeq lists it as uncharacterized. Lineage: Eukaryota; Metazoa; Chordata; Actinopteri; Scombriformes; Scombridae. The transcript has 3 exons. The record is from RefSeq and is a predicted model, not a curated record.